Molecule: non-coding RNA, 74 nt
Organism: Potamilus streckersoni
Lineage: Eukaryota; Metazoa; Mollusca; Bivalvia; Unionida; Unionidae
Source: the annotation of a GenBank genome assembly
GGCUCCUGUGGCCUAGUCGUUGGAGCCUCCGUCCUGGAUGCGGGAGGUCGCGGGUUCAAUCCCCGGCCGAGCCA